GACGAACGCUGGCGGCGUGCUUAACACAUGCAAGUCGAACGGAAAGGCCCCUUUUGGGGUACUCGUGUGGCGAACGGGUGUGUAACACGCCAGUAACCUGCCCUUGACUUCGGGAUUACCUUAGGAAACCGGGGCCAAUACCGGCUAGGAUUCUUUGCUGCAUGGUGGGGGAUGGUCAGCUUCCGCGGUUUUGGAUGAGCUGGCGGCUUAUCAGCUUGUUGGUGGGGUAGUGGCUUACCAAGGCGUUGACGGGUAGCUGGUCUGAGAGGGCGAGCGGCCACAUUGGGACUUAGGUACGGCCCAGGCUGCGACGGGAGGCAGCAGUGGGGAAGAUUGCACAAUGGGCGGAGGCCUGAUGCAGCAGCGCCGCGGGCGGGAUGACGGCCUUCGGGUUGUAAACCGGUUGCAGCAGGAGCGAAGCUUGUGGUGACGGUACCUGCAGAAGAAGCACCGGCUAACUACGUG
RNAcentral lists this ribosomal RNA (465 nucleotides) under uncultured bacterium. Its description in RNAcentral is "partial 16S ribosomal RNA". It matches the Rfam family "Bacterial small subunit ribosomal RNA", at positions 28 to 507 of the family's 1533-position model. The record is from RNAcentral.